RNAcentral lists this ribosomal RNA (629 nucleotides) under Kophobelemnon macrospinum. RNAcentral describes it as "partial 16S ribosomal RNA". It matches the Rfam family "Bacterial large subunit ribosomal RNA", at positions 1843 to 2577 of the family's 2925-position model. Lineage: Eukaryota; Metazoa; Cnidaria; Anthozoa; Scleralcyonacea; Kophobelemnidae. The record is from RNAcentral.
GUAUAGAGGGUGAAUUCUGCCCAAUGGUUGUAUAGUGAAACUGAGGACUAACGUCUAAAGCGAAACCCAACUGAAUGGCCGCGGUAACUCUGACCGUGAUAAUGUAGCACAAUAAAUAGCCAAUUAAUUGUUGGCGGGUAUGAAUGGAACCACGAGGGUCUUACUGUCUCAAGAGGAAAGCCGAUGAAAUUAUAAUUGUAGUGAAGAUACUACAUAAACAUUGUAAGACGAAAAGACCCUAUCGAGCUUUACUGGAUACCGAUAGAGUUAAUUUAGAAUGAUCGAUACUAAGUAUCCUAAUUCUAAGUUAAUAAUUUUUGUUGGUAGGACAGUUUAGUUGGGGCGACUACCUUUGAAUAAGAAACGAAGGCGAGCUUAUGGUAUUAAUAAAAUCUCAUUAGCCUGACAGUGAGGGGUACACCCCUAGCUGGCACAAGGACCCCACGGGGGCUCCUAUGUGGGCGAUAGUGACCCGAUAUUAUUAUCCAAAAUAAAUAUCGAAAGCGGAUAAAAGCUACCGUAGGGAUAACAGCGUAAUAUUGUCGGAGAGUUCUUAUCGAGGACAGUGUUUGCGACCUCGAUGUUGAAUUGCGGUGCCCUGGUGCUGUAGAAGGUACCUUAGGUUGGUC